RNAcentral lists this ribosomal RNA (446 nucleotides) under uncultured bacterium. RNAcentral describes it as "bacterial SSU rRNA". It matches the Rfam family "Bacterial small subunit ribosomal RNA", at positions 359 to 793 of the family's 1533-position model. The record is from RNAcentral.
AAUACUUGCACAAUGGGGGAAACCCUGAUGCAGCCAUGCCGCGUGUGUGAAGAAGGCCUUCGGGUUGUAAAGCACUUUCAGUAGGGAGGAAGGUAGUGUAGUUAACACCUGCAUUAUUUGACGUUACCUACACGAAGAAGCACCGGCUAACUCCGUGCCAGCAGCCGCGGUAAUACGGAGGGUGCGAGCGUUAAUCGGAAUUACUGGGCGUAAAGCGCAUGCAGGCGGCCUGUUAAGUCAGAUGUGAAAGCCCGGGGCUUAACCUCGGAAUUGCAUUUGAAACUGGCAGGCUAGAGUCUUGUAGAGGGGGGUAGGAAUUUCAGGUGUAGCGGUGAAAUGCGUAGAGAUCUGAAGGAAUACCAGUGGCGAAGGCGGCCCCCCUGGACAAAGACUGACGCUCAGAUGCGAAAGCGUGGGGAGCAAACAGGAUUAGAUACCCCUGGUAG